CCUACGGGAGACAGCAGUGGGGAAUAUUGGGCAAUGGGCGCAAGCCUGACCCAGCAACGCCGCGUGAAGGAAGACGGCUCUAGGGUUGUAAACUUCCUUUAAGAGAGAAGAGCAGUAGACGGUACCUGUUGAAUAAGCUAUGGUUAACUACGUGCCAGCAGCCGCGGUAAUACGUAGGUGGCCAGCGUUGUCCGGAUUUACUGGGUGUAACGGGCGUGCAGCCGGGAAGACAAGUCAGAUGUGAAAGUCCGCGGCUCAACCGCAGAACUGCAUUUGAAACUGUUUUUCUUGAGUACCGGGGAGGUCAUCGGAAUUCGUUGUGUAGCGGUGAAAUGCGUAGAUAUAAGGAAGAACACCAAUGGCGAAGGCGGAUGACUAAACUGCAACUGACGGUGAGGCGCGAAAGCGUGGGGAGCAAACAGGAUUAGAUACCCGGGUAGUC
This 442-nucleotide ribosomal RNA is filed under the name uncultured bacterium. RNAcentral describes it as "partial 16S ribosomal RNA". It matches the Rfam family "Bacterial small subunit ribosomal RNA", at positions 338 to 795 of the family's 1533-position model. The record is from RNAcentral.